This 346-nucleotide long non-coding RNA is filed under the name Coffea arabica (coffee). RNAcentral's name for it is "long non-coding RNA (CARA_LNC003393)". The record is from RNAcentral. Lineage: Eukaryota; Viridiplantae; Streptophyta; Magnoliopsida; Gentianales; Rubiaceae.
UUGUAUAGUGCCUGCUCUGGAGGAUUGCAUUUUCAUGCUAGGCCUACCCUUGGCAUAAAAGGGUUCUCCCAUAGGACAUGCAUACCGAUUUUGCAGUUUUGCCUACUAACUCGGGGUAUUUUUCUUUUGUUUCCCCCCUCCCUUGCAUUCAUAAAAAUAUUUCAAUAAGACGGAAAUAUUCUUCUAUAUCUGAUGAUAAUUUUAAUCCAAUGAAGUUUGAAGAUUACAAGUGUUAUUUGAUUCUUGGGCGGGUCCUACGAUGAAAACCCUCUGAGAAAUGUUGUAAUUGUUUUCCAAAGGAAAAUUUUGUAUAUUUGAAAAAGGAGACAAAAAGUGUAUAUGUGGA